Molecule: ribosomal RNA, 422 nt
Filed under: uncultured bacterium
Lineage: Bacteria
Description: partial 16S ribosomal RNA
Rfam family: Bacterial small subunit ribosomal RNA
Source: RNAcentral
AAUCUUCCACAAUGGACGAAAGUCUGAUGGAGCAAUGCCGCGUGAGUGAAGAAGGNUUNNGGCUCNUNAAACUCAGUUGUUAANNNNNAACACCUUUGAAAGUAACUGUUCAAGGGUUGACGGUAUUUAACCAGAAAGCCACGGCUAACUACGUGCCAGCAGCCGCGGUAAUACGUAGGUGGCAAGCGUUGUCCGGAUUUAUUGGGCGUAAAGCGAGCGCAGGCGGUUUUUUAAGUCUGAUGUGAAAGCCUUCGGCUUAACCGGAGAAGUGCAUCGGAAACUGGGAGACUUGAGUGCAGAAGAGGACAGUGGAACUCCAUGUGUAGCGGUGGAAUGCGUAGAUAUAUGGAAGAACACCAGUGGCGAAGGCGGCUGUCUAGUCUGUAACUGACGCUGAGGCUCGAAAGCAUGGGUAGCGAACA